AGUCGACGAACACUUUACCUGAUUUCCUUCGGGGAUGAUUGUUCUGUGACUGAGUGGCGGACGGGUGAGUAACGCGUGGAUAACCUGCCUCACACAGGGGGAUAACAGUUGGAAACGGCUGCUAAUACCGCAUAAGCGCACAGCACCGCAUGGUGCAGUGUGAAAAACUCCGGUGGUGUGAGAUGGAUCCGCGUCUGAUUAGCUUGUUGGCGGGGUAACGGCCCACCAAGGCGACGAUCAGUAGCCGGCCUGAGAGGGCGACCGGCCACAUUGGGACUGAGACACGGCCCAGACUCCUACGGGAGGCAGCAGUGGGGAAUAUUGCACAAUGGGGGGAACCCUGAUGCAGCGACGCCGCGUGAGCGAUGAAGUAUUUCGGUAUGUAAAGCUCUAUCAGCAGGGAAGAUAAUGACGGUACCUGACUAAGAAGCUCCGGCUAAAUACGUGCCAGCAGCCGCGGUAAUACGUAUGGAGCAAGCGUUAUCCGGAUUUACUGGGUGUAAAGGGAGCGUAGGCGGUCCUGCAAGUCUGAUGUGAAAGGCCGGGGCUCAACCCCGGGACUGCAUUGGAAACUGUAGGACUAGAGUGUCGGAGGGGUAAGUGGAAUUCCUAGUGUAGCGGUGAAAUGCGUAGAUAUUAGGAGGAACACCAGUGGCGAAGGCGGCUUACUGGACGACUACUGACGCUGAGGCUCGAAAGCGUGNGGAGCAAACAGGANUAGAUACCCUGGUAGUCCACGCCGU
Molecule: ribosomal RNA, 743 nt
Filed under: uncultured bacterium
Lineage: Bacteria
Description: bacterial SSU rRNA
Rfam family: Bacterial small subunit ribosomal RNA
Source: RNAcentral